RNAcentral lists this ribosomal RNA (782 nucleotides) under uncultured bacterium. RNAcentral's name for it is "bacterial SSU rRNA". It matches the Rfam family "Bacterial small subunit ribosomal RNA", at positions 68 to 849 of the family's 1533-position model. The record is from RNAcentral.
GGCAGCGCAGGUAGCAAUACUGGGCGGCGACCGGCAANNNNNUGCGGAACACGUACACAACCUUCCGAGAAGUGGGGAAUAGCCCAGAGAAAUUUGGAUUAAUACCCCGUAACAUAACGAUGUGGCAUCACAUUGUUAUUAUAGCUUCGGCGCUUCUUGAUGGGUGUGCGGCUGAUUAGAUAGUUGGCGGGGUAACGGCCCACCAAGUCUACGAUCAGUAGCUGAUGUGAGAGCAUGAUCAGCCACACGGGCACUGAGACACGGGCCCGACUCCUACGGGAGGCAGCAGUAAGGAAUAUUGGUCAAUGGACGCAAGUCUGAACCAGCCAUGCCGCGUGAAGGAUUAAGGUCCUCUGGAUUGUAAACUUCUUUUAUCUGGGACGAAAAAAGGCGAUUCUUCGUCACUUGACGGUACCAGAUGAAUAAGCACCGGCUAACUCCGUGCCAGCAGCUGCGGUAAUACGGAGGGUGCAAGCGUUAUCCGGAUUCACUGGGUUUAAAGGGUGCGUAGGCGGGCAGGUAAGUCAGUGGUGAAAUCCUAGAGCUUAACUCUAGAACUGCCAUUGAUACUAUCUGUCUUGAAUAUUGUGGAGGUAAGCGGAAUAUGUCAUGUAGCGGUGAAAUGCUUAGAUAUGACAUAGAACACCUAUUGCGAAGGCAGCUUACUACGCAUAUAUUGACGCUGAGGCACGAAAGCGUGGGGAUCAAACAGGAUUNNNUACCCUGGUAGUCCACGCCCUAAACGAUGAUUACUCGACAUUGUGAUACACUAUAAGUGUCUG